This 253-nucleotide ribosomal RNA is filed under the name uncultured bacterium. RNAcentral describes it as "partial 16S ribosomal RNA". It matches the Rfam family "Bacterial small subunit ribosomal RNA", at positions 524 to 776 of the family's 1533-position model. The record is from RNAcentral.
UACGUAGGGUGCGAGCGUUAAUCGGAAUUACUGGGCGUAAAGCGUGCGCAGGCGGCUUUGCAAGACAGAUGUGAAAUCCCCGGGCUUAACCUGGGAACUGCAUUUGUGACUGCAUGGCUGGAGUGCGGCAGAGGGGGAUGGAAUUCCGCGUGUAGCAGUGAAAUGCGUAGAGAUGCGGAGGAACACCGAUGGCGAAGGCAGCCCCCUGGGCUAGCACUGACGCUCAGGCACGAAAGCGUGGGGAGCAAACAGG